RNAcentral lists this non-coding RNA (30 nucleotides) under Mus musculus (house mouse). Lineage: Eukaryota; Metazoa; Chordata; Mammalia; Rodentia; Muridae. The record is from RNAcentral.
UAGUUGAAAAUUCUAGCAGCUGGUAUUUGC